RNAcentral lists this long non-coding RNA (989 nucleotides) under Androctonus crassicauda. The record is from RNAcentral. Lineage: Eukaryota; Metazoa; Arthropoda; Arachnida; Scorpiones; Buthidae.
UCUGGUUCCCAUUGUAAUUUACGUAGGACCUCCUCUCCUGAUCUUGCAGAAUACAUGCUGUUCCCUAAUAUUUCCAUGGCCCAUUUAGCCAUUUAGCUUUUGAUGCCUAAAGGUGGUUUGCUUAUACCAUAUUCCCAAGUUUUGAGGUCUUUCACUGUUGAUUUCAUUGAUUUAUUUAUCUACAAUUCCUCUGUGUUCUAUUGUUUUUGAAGUUUGUAGAGUUUCUUUCCCGGGAUCCCGGGAACCAACGCACAGAUACAAAAAAAUUAUAAAAUAUAAUUAGAUAUGAUUUCAAAGAUUGUAGGAGAGUUAUUUAUCAAAGAAUUUGAUAAUUGGCAACAUGGAAAAAUAUGUAAGCAUGAUUUACUAACAGAGGUGUACUCACAUCUGACAUUACAUACGGCAUGGUGCUAAAUGAAAAAACGCAUGCGUAGGCAGAGAAUUUUUUAUAUCCCAUGUGUCGAAAGUGCCCAAAAUAUAUGACCGAUCGAAUCGGCCGAUUCAGAUCCGAAAAAAAUGGCACAAAAUACCUCCAGGUAAAAAACCCUCUCUCACACAGGGAAGAAACCCCUGCCUUUCGGCAGUCAAAAUUCCUUCGAAUCACCAGUUUGGAAGGUCCAAAAGAACGGUCGGAGGCCGCGGAGAGGCCUUCUGCCUCAAUUGGUAUUCCUGUGGGUCAGAAAAAAAUUCCCUGGUAAAAAAGCCAAAAGAUCAGCAGUGCUGAUAUUUUGGCUUUACCAAAAAAAACUCUUUGAUCCAACAAGCUAAAAUAACUUUGACAAGGCUUUUUUGCGAGGAAUCAGAAUUGCUGUCCAAUUCUUUGCACUCAGAAGAGAGCACGGAAAAAUUGCAAGAGAGACCAAUGACAUUAAACAAAAAAUUAGAAAAAGCCAUUCAAUCAAAGACAAAAGUUCUACGUUGUUCAAUUAGUCUAAGUUCUAGCUUGAGCAAGGUUGUGAAGCAAGAAUUGCAGUUAUUUGACUCAACAG